This 456-nucleotide ribosomal RNA is filed under the name uncultured euryarchaeote CA-15_23. RNAcentral's name for it is "bacterial SSU rRNA". It matches the Rfam family "Archaeal small subunit ribosomal RNA", at positions 27 to 487 of the family's 1478-position model. Lineage: Archaea; Methanobacteriati; Methanobacteriota. The record is from RNAcentral.
CCGCUAUUGGAGUUCGAUUAAGCCAUGCGAGUCGCGACCAUUAGAUUCUCGGCGUACCGCUCAGUAACACGUGGGUAACCUGCCCUAUGCUGGAUAAUAACCUCGGGAAACUGAGAAUAAUGAUCCAUAGUUCACUACGCCUGGAACGGUGAAUGGAUGAAAGCUCCGGCGGCAUAGGAUGGGCCUGCGGCGUAUCAGGUUGUAGGGGGUGUAACGUACCCUCUAGCCCUCUACGCGUACGGGUGUUGGGAGACAUAGCCCGGAGAUGGAUUCUGAGACACGAAUCCAGACCCUACGGGGUGCAGCAGGCGCGAAAACUUGGCAAUGCGAGAAAUCGUGACCAGGGAACUCCAAGUGCAUCGGGUAAGACCAAUGCUUUUCUUGACUCUAAAUAGGUCUUGGAAUAAAAGGUGGGUAAGGACGGUGCCAGCCGCCGCGGUAAUACCGGCGCCUCAA